This is an RNA transcript of Homo sapiens (human), 4560 nucleotides long. It is a transcript of the gene named tubulin gamma complex component 2, with no coding region annotated. Lineage: Eukaryota; Metazoa; Chordata; Mammalia; Primates; Hominidae. The record is from RefSeq and is marked validated. The transcript is spliced from 18 exons.
UAAAAUCAACUUUAACUAGAAAGGCAGACGGCACAGGUGACGCUAGAAAGGCAGACAGUACAGGUCAUGCUAGAAAGGCAGACGGCACAGGUCAUGCUAGGAAGGCAGACGGCACAGGUGACGCUAGAAACGCAGACGGCACAGGUGACGCUAGAAACGCAGACGGCACAGGUGAUGCUAUUAAGGCAGACGCCUGGGUUGUGACUGAAGCAACUGCAAGUGAGACUCUUUCCAUCCCACUCAGACAAUGAGGAAAAGUGAGUGGUGCUUGGCAUUCCUGCGCUUCAAUGGCUCAAAAACAGAGUAUGCGAGAGAAACUAAGUUAUUCACAGGACCUGAGAUAUCUGGACUUUCUUCUCUGGCGGAAGCCGAUUUUCUUACCCAGCGUUACCUUUCUGAAUUCAGUAUGAGAAGAGCUGCGGCCCAGGUGCAGCCCAGAAUCCUCAGCACCGAACACAUGUUGAGAACGGGUUUCAGAAAGAGCUCAGACACUGACCUAUGUCUGUAGAUCCGCCUCUCACCUGCCGGUGCAGGGGAGGCUGCCACAGGCUCAGAGCAGAUUUCCAUGGCCUCCCCUUCUGACCGCUCUCCACUGUCCCCUGGGGCUUCUGCUGAGGCUGGGCUGCGGGGAGAGAGCAGUGAGUAACUGCCCUGCACGGCUCCCACAGCCCCUGUGUUCCCCAGAAAUGAACAUGCAAGAAAGAAACUGGAUUUCCCUGAGAACAUAUUGUGAUGUUCGUGCCUCAGAGCUAAAACUAUGAGUGAAUUUCGGAUUCACCAUGACGUCAAUGAACUGCUUAGCCUGCUGCGUGUCCACGGAGGAGAUGGGGCUGAGGUCUACAUUGACCUGCUUCAAAAGAACAGGACCCCGUACGUCACUACCACUGUCUCUGCUCACAGUGCCAAGGUUAAAAUUGCAGAGUUUUCUCGUACUCCAGAAGACUUUCUAAAGAAAUAUGAUGAACUGAAAUCUAAAAAUACAAGGAACCUUGACCCGCUGGUGUACCUGUUGUCAAAGCUCACGGAAGACAAAGAGACUCUGCAGUACUUACAACAGAAUGCAAAAGAAAGAGCUGAGCUUGCAGCCGCUGCUGUGGGCAGCAGUACCACCAGCAUCAACGUCCCUGCCGCGGCCUCCAAGAUCUCCAUGCAGGAGCUUGAGGAACUGAGGAAGCAGCUUGGCAGCGUGGCCACAGGCUCCACGCUGCAGCAGUCUCUGGAACUUAAAAGAAAGAUGCUUCGAGACAAGCAGAACAAAAAAAAUUCAGGCCAGCACCUCCCCAUCUUCCCAGCAUGGGUGUAUGAGAGACCUGCCCUGAUCGGGGAUUUCCUGAUUGGUGCUGGCAUCAGCACAGACACCGCUUUGCCGAUAGGCACGUUGCCCCUGGCCUCGCAGGAGUCGGCCGUGGUGGAGGACCUGCUGUACGUGCUGGUGGGCGUGGACGGGAGGUACGUCAGUGCUCAGCCCCUGGCUGGGAGGCAGAGCCGGACCUUCCUCGUGGACCCCAACCUGGACCUGUCCAUCAGGGAGCUGGUGCACAGGAUCCUCCCAGUGGCCGCCAGCUACUCCGCUGUGACCAGGUUCAUUGAAGAGAAGUCUUCCUUCGAGUACGGGCAGGUGAACCACGCCCUGGCGGCCGCCAUGCGCACCCUGGUGAAGGAGCACCUGAUUCUGGUGUCACAGCUGGAGCAGCUGCACAGGCAGGGCCUCCUUUCGCUGCAGAAGCUCUGGUUCUACAUCCAGCCAGCCAUGCGCACCAUGGACAUCCUGGCCUCCCUCGCCACCUCGGUGGACAAAGGCGAAUGUCUUGGGGGGUCCACGCUGAGCCUGCUCCACGACAGGAGCUUCAGCUACACAGGGGACAGCCAGGCGCAGGAGCUAUGCCUGUACCUAACCAAGGCGGCCAGUGCUCCCUACUUCGAGGUUCUGGAGAAGUGGAUCUACAGGGGCAUCAUCCACGACCCAUACAGUGAGUUUAUGGUCGAGGAGCACGAGCUGCGGAAGGAGAGGAUCCAGGAGGAUUACAACGACAAGUACUGGGACCAGCGGUACACCAUCGUCCAGCAGCAGAUCCCGUCCUUCCUGCAGAAAAUGGCGGACAAGAUCCUCAGCACAGGAAAAUAUCUAAAUGUGGUCAGAGAGUGUGGCCAUGACGUCACCUGCCCGGUGGCUAAAGAGAUCAUCUACACGUUAAAAGAGCGGGCGUAUGUGGAGCAGAUCGAGAAGGCGUUUAACUACGCCAGCAAGGUGCUGCUGGACUUCCUGAUGGAGGAGAAGGAGCUGGUGGCUCACCUCAGGUCCAUCAAGCGCUACUUCCUCAUGGACCAGGGCGACUUCUUCGUGCACUUCAUGGACCUCGCGGAGGAGGAGCUCCGGAAGCCGGUGGAGGACAUCACGCCCCCUCGCCUGGAAGCGCUCCUGGAGCUGGCGCUGCGCAUGAGCACGGCCAACACUGACCCCUUCAAGGACGACCUCAAGAUCGACCUGAUGCCCCAUGACCUCAUCACUCAGCUCUUGCGCGUCCUGGCCAUCGAGACCAAGCAGGAGAAGGCGAUGGCGCACGCCGACCCCACGGAGCUGGCGCUGAGCGGCCUGGAGGCCUUCUCUUUCGACUACAUCGUCAAGUGGCCCCUUUCGCUCAUCAUCAACAGGAAAGCCCUCACUCGCUACCAGAUGCUCUUCAGGCACAUGUUCUACUGCAAGCACGUGGAGCGGCAGCUCUGCAGCGUCUGGAUCAGCAACAAAACCGCCAAGCAGCACUCGCUGCACUCCGCCCAGUGGUUUGCUGGGGCUUUCACUCUGCGGCAGCGAAUGCUCAACUUCGUCCAGAAUAUUCAAUACUACAUGAUGUUUGAAGUGAUGGAACCGACCUGGCACAUCCUGGAGAAAAACCUGAAAUCCGCUUCCUGGACACCUGCCUGAAGGACUGCAUGCUCACCAACCCCGAGCUGCUGAAGGUCUUCUCCAAGCUCAUGUCUGUGUGCGUCAUGUUCACCAACUGCAUGCAGAAAUUUACACAGAGCAUGAAAUUAGAUGGCGAGCUGGGCGGGCAGACGCUGGAGCACAGCACCGUCCUGGGGCUGCCCGCAGGGGCCGAGGAGCGGGCCCGGAAGGAGCUCGCCAGGAAGCACCUGGCUGAGCACGCAGACACUGUGCAGCUGGUGUCCGGCUUCGAGGCCACCAUCAACAAGUUUGACAAGAACUUCUCAGCCCACCUGCUGGACCUCCUGGCCCGGCUGAGCAUCUAUAGCACCAGUGACUGUGAGCACGGCAUGGCCAGCGUCAUCUCCAGGCUUGACUUCAAUGGUUUCUACACGGAGCGCCUGGAGCGCCUGUCUGCAGAGAGGAGCCAGAAGGCCACCCCCCAAGUGCCUGUCCUGCGGGGGCCCCCGGCUCCUGCACCCAGGGUCGCAGUCACCGCACAGUGAGCCCUGGCUGUGACAGGAAGGAAGGGUGUGGGGUCAGCAGGGACUGGUGCAAAUGGGUCCAGAAUUUUCAAAUCGAAUGCUCUGUGUUCUGUCUUUGCAGUUUAAAUAUAAAGCAGGAAUGAUUGACUCAGCUCACUUUGUUUCUCAAGGCGCUGGGUUUCGUUUUAUAGAAGCUGCCCAGGCAGGGUGGAUGUCUCCCUGGAUUUGCUAAUCUGUUUGCUUUUUGAAAUUACACUAUCACCUUUUUGGGUGUUUUUGGCCUCAAAGUGGAAAUACAUGGUGUUUAAGCCAGGAGCAAGCAAAGAUGCAUGUGGGGUAAGAUCCAGGCCUGGUGUCCACAUCUUUCCGGGUGAGCUGGGGCCGGGCUUCCUGAGGUCUGUCGGAACCGGGACAAGCCUCUGGAAACGGUCAGGGAGUUGUGGAAACCCACCGGGCAUCGGGUGUCGGGUUUGCUUUGGCCCCAGAGGCAGCCCCGUUCCUUCUCCUGAGGACUCACCCGCCUCCACGACCCUCCUCCUGCUGCUGCUCCAACUGGUCCAGGGCAGGAGGCCACAGACAGGGCCCUCAGGCACCCUGGGAGCCCACACCUCCCCCUCCGUGGGAGUGGGUCGAGGGGCAGGCUCUGCUGCUGGCUGGAAACCCCACCCCGCCCUAUCCGGUACCGCCUUGUUACGUAGAACUUACUCAGCAGACUGACACCCAAUCCCCCUCGGGCGAUCAUCUGCCCUGUCUUCCCACCUCCAGGGCUACAGUGGGCAGCACCGCCAUCCCCAGUGUGACAGGGCCCUGGGAGCCUCAGGGCUGCCCGGCCAGGUUGGUCUGCUCUGGUUACAUUCUGGCCAAGCUGCCCCUUCCUGCUGACCUGCAUGUGUAUUGUUGUCACCUUCAGCUCUCAGCACCUCGGCCCCCUUGGGCAGUGAGGAAGGGCCCUGGAGGCGAGGUUGGGAGAAAGGAUAGCUAGAACAGGAUCCUGCGGGGAACAAGGGUUGUGGGCAGCUCUCACCCGGGGCUGCCUCACUGAGAGCACCGCCGAGUGGGGGUGGGGGUGUCCAACUCUCCAGCCACAAACCGCUUCCUCCUUGUCUGCAGGCUGUGCAGGUCUGGCCUGUGAGUAAACACAUUUAUCAGCAA